AAAAAAAGCACAAUACAUGACUGUGUUCUCCAUGAAUGUCCAGAAAGCAGCUUCUGGAUGUUCAUGCAUUCUGCAUGGAACUACAGUUUCCAUGUGCCAGUGCAUGUGCCUUCCUAUUUCAUCUCAGUCAACCAAGAGAAACCAGUUGAAAAUAGCAACUCUGCUCAUAGUAUUAGGUUUUGAAAAAGGAGGAAUCUAUAUUAGCUCUCUUGCUUAGGUGGGGCAGUUUCCCCAUCUUGUCAUGGCAGGUAUGGCAAUGAUGAUUUUAAACUGAGCCCUGAAAACACUUGGCUUUUACUGCACCAGUUGCUAGACUAAAAUUCUACCAGUUUUGUGAAUAAGUCACAGCCUUGUUUGUCUGAGCUCAAUGUAUAAGAGGCACUCCAGUGUCAACUGUGAAAUAAGACUGAUUUUUUUUGUAUAAAGAUCAGCUUUCAAAUCCCAGACAAGUGAAUAUAAAUUUUAGUUUCCUGUUAUCCCAUCAUGUGGAAUCCAGAAAAAUUUGGCAAUAGCGCCGUUAGCUUUUGUUGAAGCAGUACCCCUGAGGAGGCUCUGAGCUGGGUAGCUGUGCACCACCACUGUGCUAGUAUUUUGUGGGAGGGCUGCACAGGCUUAGCUUCUGUAGCAUUUAAGAGAAAGGGCAGUUCAGCUCUCACUUGGUGCAAUCAAGGCUUACCAAUUUGAACAGGGUACGGAAAUUGUUUACAAAAAGAAACAAGCCAAGCUUCAACUAAAGAAUUCAGCUCCUGCCUAGGUUCUAAAUGCAUUUACAACUGG
This is a long non-coding RNA of Neopsephotus bourkii (Bourke's parrot), 777 nucleotides long. RefSeq lists it as uncharacterized. The transcript is spliced from 3 exons. Lineage: Eukaryota; Metazoa; Chordata; Aves; Psittaciformes; Psittacidae. The record is from RefSeq and is a predicted model, not a curated record.